RNAcentral lists this ribosomal RNA (490 nucleotides) under uncultured bacterium. RNAcentral describes it as "partial 16S ribosomal RNA". It matches the Rfam family "Bacterial small subunit ribosomal RNA", at positions 28 to 507 of the family's 1533-position model. The record is from RNAcentral.
GAUGAACGCUAGCUACAGGCUUAACACAUGCAAGUCGAGGGGCAGCAUGGUCUUAGCUUGCUAAGGCCGAUGGCGACCGGCGCACGGGUGAGUAACACGUAUCCAACCUGCCGUCUACUCUUGGACAGCCUUCUGAAAGGAAGAUUAAUACAAGAUGGCAUCAUGAGUCCGCAUGUUCACAUGAUUAAAGGUAUUCCGGUAGACGAUGGGGAUGCGUUCCAUUAGAUAGUAGGCGGGGUAACGGCCCACCUAGUCUUCGAUGGAUAGGGGUUCUGAGAGGAAGGUACCCCACAUUGGAACUGAGACACGGUCCAAACUCCUACGGGAGGCAGCAGUGAGGAAUAUUGGUCAAUGGGCGAGAGCCUGAACCAGCCAAGUAGCGUGAAGGAUGACUGCCCUAUGGGUUGUAAACUUCUUUUAAAAAGGAAUAAAGUCGGGUAUGGAUACCCGUUUGCAUGUACUUUAUGAAUAAGGAUCGGCUAACUCCGUG